ACUUUAUCAUUACUUUUUCUUUUUCAGUUUUUCUUGUUUCUUUCUAUUCACCACCAGCAACCCUUCUUCCCUAACCUUCCCCAAAAUCCAGCUUCAGAAAAACUAAAGAAAGAAAGAAAAAAGAAAGGAAGGAAAGAAACGGAACAAGAGAGAGAAGGUUGGCAGAAGAGAGAGAUCUGAAGAGAGAGGGAGAGAGAGCGCCAUUGAACAGAACGCGAGAAGGGAGAGGAGUUGUAUUCUGUUGUUGACGUCGCACCACCGCCACGCCGCCGUGCUGUGCGAAGUCACCGCCGUCGCCUCGAGCCUCGCCGUCGUCUGUGCUCAUCGCUGUCGAGGGUCCAUCCACGCCGUCGCUGGAGCUUGAACGCCGCUGCAACCACCGCGUGUUAUCAUCUUCAGAUCUGCCGCCGUUUGAGUUGCGAACAGGGGAACGCGCGCGAAGGAAACUGUCGCGGAGCUGCCGUCGCCGCCGCGUUGAUGGGCUCUCCGUCGUUCUGCUCGCGCGGCUGCUGCGUUGUCGGAGCUCCUCGCUGCCGCUGCUAACGCCGGAAACCGCCUUUCAAGCCUGUAUCUAUUGGGAGGAGUCCGAGCAAGAAAAGGAAGAAGGUGGGGAUGGAUACCUCCACUGCUGCUGCUGUUACUAUCGGUGUUCCGGAGCUUGCAGUUCCUGCCGUUUUUGGUGAUGAACCUGGUUGUGUCCUUGCUGCUGAUUGAUUGUAGUGAGAGAUGUUGUAGCCACUACUUUUCAUCUUGGUAAGUUUAUGGGUAAGAUCGCUUUGAUUCUUCUUUGUGCCAUUUUAUUUACGCAGCUAGUUUUGAUCUGUUUAAUUUACCAGAGUCACUAUUGUCAUAUCUCGGCGCUGCCGCCCUUGUUUGGAACCACUAAAUGUUGUUGUCUCCAGUAGCACUAUUCUUCCUAUUUUGAUUUCAACUCCUUUAAUUCUGAAAUUUAUAAUGUUUCUGCCUUUAUCCUACUGCUAUUUGGUUUUCUUGUGCUACCCUUACUCUAAUUACAGAAAUAUGUUUCCAUUUUAGCCACUGUCAAUUUAUCUAUUGCAAAGUCAUAAUUGAUAAUGGAGCUGCUAAGAUCGCUGCUGCUGCCAUGAAUUGGGGAUAAAGGGGAUUAUUGAGUUAAAUUCUGCCAUUGAGACAUCGAGAUGUAGGUCGAGAGGCUCCUCGCUAGGCGUCUGUAUUUUCUGAAGCGGAGUAGU
Arachis ipaensis is the source of this 1211-nucleotide non-coding RNA. The record is from RefSeq and is a predicted model, not a curated record. Lineage: Eukaryota; Viridiplantae; Streptophyta; Magnoliopsida; Fabales; Fabaceae.